RNAcentral lists this transfer RNA (32 nucleotides) under Anolis equestris. Its description in RNAcentral is "partial tRNA-Asn". Lineage: Eukaryota; Metazoa; Chordata; Lepidosauria; Squamata; Anolidae. The record is from RNAcentral.
UGAAUAGGAGGGCCUUGAUCCCACAAUAAAUU